GGCAGGAUGGCCGAGCGGUCUAAGGCGUGUAACUCAAGCGAAAGCUUGCCUGCUUUGCGGGUUUCGCAUCUGGGUAUCCAGGCGUGGGUUCAAAUCCCACUCUUGUCA
Molecule: non-coding RNA, 108 nt
Organism: Fomes fomentarius
Lineage: Eukaryota; Fungi; Basidiomycota; Agaricomycetes; Polyporales; Polyporaceae
Source: the annotation of a GenBank genome assembly